RNAcentral lists this ribosomal RNA (460 nucleotides) under uncultured bacterium. Its description in RNAcentral is "partial 16S ribosomal RNA". It matches the Rfam family "Bacterial small subunit ribosomal RNA", at positions 338 to 795 of the family's 1533-position model. The record is from RNAcentral.
CCUACGGGUGACAGCAGUGAGGAAUAUUGGUCAAUGGACGAGAGUCUGAACCAGCCAAGUAGCGUGAAGGAUGACUGCCCUAUGGGUUGUAAACUUCUUUUAUAUGGGAAUAAAAUGUUCCACGUGUGGGAUUUUGUAUGUACCAUAUGAAUAAGGAUCGGCUAACUCCGUGCCAGCAGCCGCGGUAAUACGGAGGAUCCGAGCGUUAUCCGGAUUUAUUGGGGUUAAAGGGAGCGUAGGUGGAUUGUUAAGUCAGUUGUGAAAGUUUGCGGCUCAACCGUAAAAUUGCAGUUGAAACUGGCAGUCUUGAGUGCAGUAGAGGUGGGCGGAAUUCGUGGUGUAGCGGUGAAAUGCUUAGAUAUCACGAAGAACUCCGAUUGCGAAGGCAGCUCACUGGACUGCAACUGACACUGAGGCUCGAAAGUGUGGGUAGCAAACAGGAUUAGAUACCCCGGUAGUC